This 388-nucleotide ribosomal RNA is filed under the name uncultured Micrococcaceae bacterium. RNAcentral describes it as "bacterial SSU rRNA". It matches the Rfam family "Bacterial small subunit ribosomal RNA", at positions 380 to 779 of the family's 1533-position model. The record is from RNAcentral. Lineage: Bacteria; Bacillati; Actinomycetota; Actinomycetes; Micrococcales; Micrococcaceae.
AGCCUGAUGCAGCGACGCCGCGUGAGGGAUGACGGCCUUCGGGUUGUAAACCUCUUUCAGCAGGGAAGAAGCCACAAGUGACGGUACCUGCAGAAGAAGCGCCGGCUAACUACGUGCCAGCAGCCGCGGUAAUACGUAGGGCGCAAGCGUUGUCCGGAAUUAUUGGGCGUAAAGAGCUCGUAGGCGGUUUGUCGCGUCUGCUGUGAAAGCCCGGGGCUUAACCCCGGGUGUGCAGUGGGUACGGGCAGACUAGAGUGCAGUAGGGGAGACUGGAAUUCCUGGUGUAGCGGUGGAAUGCGCAGAUAUCAGGAGGAACACCGAUGGCGAAGGCAGGUCUCUGGGCUGUUACUGACGCUGAGGAGCGAAAGCAUGGGGAGCGAACAGGAUU